RNAcentral lists this ribosomal RNA (484 nucleotides) under uncultured bacterium. RNAcentral describes it as "partial 16S ribosomal RNA". It matches the Rfam family "Bacterial small subunit ribosomal RNA", at positions 28 to 507 of the family's 1533-position model. The record is from RNAcentral.
AUUGAACGCUGGCGGCAUGCUUUACACAUGCAAGUCGAACGGCAGCGCGGGCUUCGGCCUGUCGGCGAGUGGCGAACGGGUGAGUAAUGCAUCGGAACGUGCCCAGUAGUGGUGGAUAGCCUGGCGAAAGCCGGAUUAAUACCGCAUACGACCCUAGGGUGACAGCGGGGGACCGAAAGGCUUCCCGCUAUUGGAGAGGCCGAUGUCGGAUUAGCUAGUUGGUGGGGUAAAGGCUUACCAAGGCGACGAUCCGUAGCUGGUCUGAGAGGACGACCAGCCACACUGGGACUGAGACACGGCCCAGACUCCUACGGGAGGCAGCAGUGGGGAAUGUUGGACAAUGGGGGCAACCCUGAUCCAGCCAUGCCGCGUGCGGGAAGAAGGCCUUCGGGUUGUAAACCGCUUUUGUUCGGGAAGAAAUCCUCUGGGCUAAUACCCCGGGGGGAUGACGGUACCGGAAGAAUAAGCACCGGCUAACUACGUG